CUAAGAAGAAACCCAUCGCUACUAUGGUACUUUUAGAAUGCAUAAUGCUCACAAGCAUGGUAUGCAAAGGAAAGCCCUUAUUAUUUACAUACAUAUCUUUAAUGUGUUCAAAACCUAAGAACUUAGAGCUUAGGGUAGAAAGUAAAGCAUACCUUCGAGAUAAAACAUCAGCGACGAUAUUAUCUUUCCCUUGUUUAUACUUGAUCACAUAUGGGAACAACUUUAUGAACUUCACCCACUUAACGUGUUUGUGAUUAAGCUUACCUUGGCC
Molecule: long non-coding RNA, 271 nt
Filed under: Carica papaya (papaya)
Lineage: Eukaryota; Viridiplantae; Streptophyta; Magnoliopsida; Brassicales; Caricaceae
Description: long non-coding RNA (CPAP_LNC015793)
Source: RNAcentral